GCCAAGAGCCUUGCGAACACGGCGGAGGAGGAGGCAGUUGCCAUGGUCGCCGCCUCCGUACCUGUACUGUCAGGGGCUCCGCGCCCGGCUCCGGGCCCCACUGGCGACCGACGCCCAAGCCUUACCACCCCGCCCGCACGGGCUGCCCGCCGUGCCGCCAGACCCCUGUAGGCCCACUCCAGGACCUCUAGUCUCUGAGGCCCAGAGGUGUUCUGGGUCGGGGGGAACACGCUACUCUUCCCCGAAGACCAGCCCGGGUUAAACCCUGCGAGCUGAGCGCAGCCGGGGAGACUUCGAUCAGGCACAAAGCCGGACACCUGGAGCGAAAUUUGCGCGUGCGUACUGUACGGGAAGCCGAUUAGGACCACGGGGGAGAGGCGCGCGGUGGCCAGCGCCCUCUGCCGGCAGAGGGUAGACAACAUAGAGAAGGCCUGGACGACUCUUGCUUUGGUCAAAGUUCCCCCAGAAACUCGCUACGCUUUUCCGUGCUAGGCUAUUAAUUAAAACAGUAGUGGUAAAUAUAAAAUAAUGAAAAUGUACAUAAUGAACUCCGGUAGUUUUUAAUUUAAAAAACACUUGGGCCGGGGUUGCCGCAGCUGCCGGGCACUUCAGCUUCGCGAAGGCUUGCAGGCAUCUGGCGCGCUCGCGCCCAGCGGUCACGGCUCCCCAGACUAGUCCGCUCCGACAAGGUGGCGCAGAAGAAAGAGCCCAAGAGGACAUCUGCGAGAUUGUCAUCUAAAUCGGCUCCUGCAAAAGUGGGAACGAAGCUGAAGAAGGCGGCAGGAAAGGAUAAAUCGUCAGACAAAAAAGUCAAACAAAGGGAACAACGGGGAAACAGGCCGAAGUGGCUAACCAAGAGACUAAAAGGAGAGCCCAGCCUUUGAUGAAGCAGAAGAAGCCAAGUCUGAUUAAUAUCACACCCUAUCCUAUCAGUGGUCCGUCUCCCUUCUUGUACAAUCCAGACGAUUAUUUUUAUCAACUAUUUUGUAAACUCAAGUUUUUUGACAGCUCUAAAAACAUUUUUUUUAAAAAGAAAGAAUCCUCUCUCAUUCCACUUUUUAAGUGUGCCAACCUGAGGCCUUGCCUGGUAGGGACCGUGAACAAGACUCCAAAGACCCUAAAACUCCAAUUUGUAUGACUAGAGCCCAUCCUUCCAAUCCCUGAUACUGAACAGAGAAGAACAUCUGCGUUCAUUUGGGUAGACUUCUAGGCACUUCAGAAAAUGGGGAGGAACCAAGAGGGAAAAAAACUCCCCUUGAAAAAAGUUCAAAGGACUCAUUUGAAAAGACCUGACACUGGGAAAGAUUGAAGGCAGGAGGAGAAGGAGACGACAGAGGAUCAGAUGGUUGGAUGGCAUCACCAACUCAAUGGACAUGAGUUUGAGUAAACUCUGGAAGUUGGUGCUGGACAGGGAGGCCUGGCGUGCUGUGGUCCAUGGGGUCGCAAAGAGUCGGAUAUGACUGAGCGACUGAACUGAACUAAAAAAAGGAAUGCUGUUUCCAGGAGGGAGGAAGUGGUUUUUCAGGCUGAGACAUGGAGAAGGGAUUAGAUAAAGGCAGAGAGCAAAUCAAAGGUGGCAAAGUCAGGUAUGGCGGAGGACACAUGCAGAGAAGAGAAGCAUCUACAUUAGUUAUACUGCUGCUGCUGCUGCUAAGUCGUGUCAGUUGUGUCCAACUCUGUGUGACCCCACCAGGCUCCGCCGUCCCUGGGAUUCUCCAGGCAAGAACACUGGAGUGGGUUGCCAUGUCCUUCUCCAAUGCAUGAACAUGAAAAGUGAAAGUGAAGUCGCUCAGUUGUGUCCGACUCUUUGCGACCCCAUGGACUGCAGCCCACCAGGCUCCUCCGUCCAUGGGAUUUUCCAGGCAAGAGUACUGGAGUGGUGGAGCUGUCCAAAAGAAAUAAAAUGUAAAUUUUAAAAUUGUCUUUAAUUGAU
Bos mutus (wild yak) is the source of this 1933-nucleotide long non-coding RNA. The record is from Ensembl. Lineage: Eukaryota; Metazoa; Chordata; Mammalia; Artiodactyla; Bovidae.